RNAcentral lists this transfer RNA (86 nucleotides) under Lynx canadensis (Canada lynx). It matches the Rfam family "tRNA". From Rfam's summary of the family: Transfer RNA (tRNA) molecules are approximately 80 nucleotides in length. Their secondary structure includes four short double-helical elements and three loops (D, anti-codon, and T loops). Lineage: Eukaryota; Metazoa; Chordata; Mammalia; Carnivora; Felidae. The record is from Rfam by way of RNAcentral.
GCCUGGAUGGCUUAGUCGGUUGAGCAUCUGACUUCAGCUCAGGUCAUGAUCUCAUGGUUCGUGAGUUUGAGCCCCAUGUUGGGGUU